Long non-coding RNA from Carassius carassius (crucian carp), 694 nucleotides. RefSeq lists it as uncharacterized. The record is from RefSeq and is a predicted model, not a curated record. The transcript has 5 exons. NCBI's taxonomy places the organism in Eukaryota, Metazoa, Chordata, Actinopteri, Cypriniformes, Cyprinidae.
CUCCCCUCACACAUUCUCAGUGGCAUUUGAGGAGGUAUAAAAGCCUUGACGGCCGCUGUCGCCACAGGACCAGUUCUAGUGCAAUACUUCAUUGUGUACUGUACACCGCCGGACCCAGUCUCUGACCUCCAGCCAUGAUGACCAGGAACAUUCUCAUCCUCUGCUCAUUAGCACUGGUACUGGUUAAAGCGGACCUUGAAGCAGCUGACGGAGGGUCCCAAGCCAUGUUCGCUACAGAUCCAGAUUCAACCUCAGAUGAAGCUCCAACUGAAAGCAUGAACCUGCUCUCACCCGACCUGCCCAAUGGUGAGUGAUCACUGCUUCACAUGGUAGGACAGGAGCUGUUUCUUAUGAACUUUGGAUUUGAUUUGUGCACCAGACUAGCUUACGUUCCUGAUAAACAAGAGAGAAUGAUUGUUAGUUUGGGAAGGAACAAUGUGUGAUGUGUUGAGACACGUCUGACAUGUCGCCCUUAGGGUUAAACUGAAGGUUUCAACUCAUUGCCUAACAGAGCUUUUGAAGCCUGACUCACAGAAUGAUACGAGAACAUGAGAGAUCAUUCAACUGUUUUCAUGAUAAACGUCUUAUUCUAUAGUUCUUAAGGAGUCCAUCUGUGUCCUGGUGCUAUAUAAAAAAUAAAAAUAAAAUAAACCAAAACACUGAUCUGAAAAACCUGUAAUGAAACACCAAGAUC